Molecule: ribosomal RNA, 774 nt
Filed under: uncultured Neocallimastigales
Lineage: Eukaryota; Fungi; Neocallimastigomycota; Neocallimastigomycetes; Neocallimastigales
Description: partial large subunit ribosomal RNA
Rfam family: Eukaryotic large subunit ribosomal RNA
Source: RNAcentral
UGUGUAUCAGUACAUGGCAUAUCAAUAAGCGGAGGAAAAGAAACUAACAAGGAUUCCCUUAGUAACGGCGAGUGAAGCGGGAAGAGCUCAAAUUUGAAAUCUUUAAGGUUCUACCUUGACGAAUUGUAGUUUAAAGAAGUGUUUUCUGUUAGUGGAGUGGCAAAAGUUCUUUGGAAUAGGACAUCAUAGAGGGUGAGAAUCCCGUAUUUGGUCAUUCCUUCUAGCUUUGUGAUACACUUUCAAAGAGUCGGAUUGUUUGGGAAUGCAGUCCAAAAUGGGUGGUAAAUUUCAUCUAAAGCUAUAUAUUGGCGAGAGACCGAUAGCGAACAAGUACCGUGAGGGAAAGAUGAAAAGAACUUUGAAAAGAGAGUUAAACAGUACGUGAAAUUGUCAAAAGGGAAGCGUUUGACACCAGUGUUGUUUUUCCGAAAAUCAAUUAAAAAUGGCGGGAUUUUGUGUUGUAUUGACUUUAUCAGCUUUCUGCACUUUUUUCCUGUCUUUUUUAAUGCACUUUUCGUUUAACAAGUCAACAUCAAUUUCUUUUGUUGUAAAAGGGUCAUUGGAAGGUGGCUUUCUUUUCGGAGAAAGUGUUUAUAGCCUUUGGCCUCUGCAAUCGGAGAGAUUGAGGUCUGCAGCGUAGAUCCUUCGGGGUUAGAUGCAUUUGUGCUAAGUUAUAGCCUUUCAUAGACAACUUGUUGACUAUGAUCAGUCAUGUAGCUUACUCGCUUAUGUCAUUUUACCUACGCUUAGGAUGUUGACAGCAGUAUAGACUGU